AGUGAACGCUGGCGGUAGGCCUAACACAUGCAAGUCGAACGGCAGCACAGUAAGAGCUUGCUCUUACGGGUGGCGAGUGGCGGACGGGUGAGGAAUACAUCGGGAUCUACUUUUUCGUGGGGGAGAACGUAGGGAAACUUACGCUAAUACCGCAUACGACCUACGGGUGAAAGCAGGGGAUCUUCGGACCUUGCGCGAUUGAAUGAGGCGAUGUCGGAUUAGCUAGUUGGCGGGGUAAAGGCCCACCAAGGCGACGAUCCGUAGCUGGUCUGAGAGGAUGAUCAGCCACACUGGAACUGAGACACGGUCCAGACUCCUACGGGAGGCAGCAGUGGGGAAUAUUGGACAAUGGGCGCAAGCCUGAUCCAGCCAUACCGCGUGGGUGAAGAAGGCCUUCGGGUUGUAAAGCCCUUUUGUUGGGAAAGAAGAGCAGCAGGUUAAUACCCCGCUGUUCUGACGGUACCCAAAGAAUAAGCACCGGCUAACUUCGUG
This 492-nucleotide ribosomal RNA is filed under the name uncultured bacterium. Its description in RNAcentral is "partial 16S ribosomal RNA". It matches the Rfam family "Bacterial small subunit ribosomal RNA", at positions 29 to 507 of the family's 1533-position model. The record is from RNAcentral.